GCUGGCGGCACGCCUUAUACAUGCAAGUCGAACGCAGUAGCAAUACUGAGUGGCAGACGGGUGAGUAUAAUGUGGGAAUCUGCCUUUUGGUUUGGAAUAACUCGGGGAAACUUGAGCUAAUACCAAAUAAGCCCUUACGGGGAAAGCUUUAUGCGCCGAAAGAUGAGCCCGCACUUGAUUAGCUUGUUGGUGAGGUAAUGGCUCACCAAGGCAACAAUCAAUAGCUGUUCUUAGAGGAAGACCAGCCACAUUGGGACUGAGACACGGCCCAGACUCCUACGGGAGGCAGCAGUGGGGAAUCUUGCACAAUGGGGGAAACCCUGAUGCAGCGAUGCCGCGUGAGUGAAGAAGGCCUUUGGCUUGUAAAACUCUUUCGUCGGGGAAGAAAAUGACUGUACCCGAAUAAGAAGGUCCGG
RNAcentral lists this ribosomal RNA (416 nucleotides) under uncultured bacterium. RNAcentral describes it as "bacterial SSU rRNA". It matches the Rfam family "Bacterial small subunit ribosomal RNA", at positions 35 to 496 of the family's 1533-position model. The record is from RNAcentral.